This 1551-nucleotide long non-coding RNA is filed under the name Gallus gallus (chicken). The record is from RNAcentral. Lineage: Eukaryota; Metazoa; Chordata; Aves; Galliformes; Phasianidae.
GUCAGACCUGGCUCCUCGGCCCCAGCUUUGCUGGAAGCCAAAUGAUGGCAAAGGUGUGUUGGAUUGUUGAUACUGUGUCAAAGAAGGUGGCAUCCAGCAGUUGUCAGAAUGGCCCAGGAUGAGACAUUCCUGUGUGCAGGUUUCAGAGGCCUCAGCCAGGGCUUUCUGGAGAUUUACUUCGAUAGUGGACUCGGGGUCUGAGUUUCCAUCUCCUUCUGUCCGGCUGUUGGGCGACGCUUGCUCGUAGUACUCCUCCUGCGGGAAGCCGAGGGGCAGUGGGUGCGAUGUGCUGGCACCACUGCUGGGCUCGUGGUCUCCAAGUCCACUGUCACUGCAGCUUUCCUGGGACCCAUCUGGUAGGUGAAACGUGACACGGCGCUGAGGCUGUGGCUGAGUCCAUGGCUCCAGUGUUGAUUCUUUUAAAGGAGUUUGUGGCCUUCCCAUUUCUUUUGUGUGCUGUCUGGUGUGAAUGGGGCCUGGGGUCUUGAAGCCUCCUUGACAACUGCAUUCAGAAACACUGUAAGGGUCCGAGCUGCUUGAUGAGCACUUGGAGAGUGAGUCACAGCCCACCACAAAGGUGUUAUCCAGAGGCAGUUCCUGAAUGACAUGGUGUUUCUUGGGGGGUACAGGAGUCUCAGGUUUAAUUUGGAAGGUUGGCUGUGGAGAAGCAGACUUGUAGUGCUUCGCUAAAUCUGGGCUAUCGGGCUUAAAUGUGGUUGGUGUAGUGGCCCAGUUAUAUUUUCCCAUAGUCUGUUCUUCUAGUUCUACAGGAAUGUCUAAAGUGCCAUUUAUGUGCUCAUGGCCAGGAUCAUCAGGCUUAGAUUCUUCAAUAGUCACAAAGUUGAGGAGAAGACUUUUUGGAGAGCGUUUCUUCUUCUUCUUCUUCUUCUUGAUCUGCCUGUUCUCUUGGUUUGGAGAAACCCACUCACCACUCUGCUUAUUUUUCUGAACAACUUUGUGCCUGGGAGUCUGGCGGCACCGUACUAAAGCAGUAACAAAAAUUACCAGAAUAACUGUCAUUGUGCCUGCAAUAAUUGCAAUUAUGAUCUUGACAUAAUCAUUGGUUUGUGGGGUUAUCUCACCAUCCCCAAUGUUCUGGCCAACUGGAGUUUCCAUAUUCCUGCGCACUAGCUCUUGUAUGUAGGAACUAUUGGUGACUGUCUCAUUCACAAAUAAAUGCACAAGAGCUAUAGUAUAAAGAGACUCUGGCUGUCCUAGGUCAUUGACUUUUAUCACCAGUCUGUGCAAGCCAUGGUCUGAUGUAAUGACCUUCUCUUUCAAUGUAAUAUUGCCUGUUAAUUGGUCAAUUGCAAACAAGCCCCUAGAAUUCCCUCCUAUAAUGCUGUAACGGAGCUCUGCAUUCAUUCCUGUGUCAUUAUCAACUGCAAAGACUUUAGUAACAACAGACCCUGGACUGGAUGAUGUUGGAACCAACUCAUAUGAAUAAUUUGAUGAAGGAAUAACAAAAACAGGCCUGUUGUCAUUUACAUCAACAACAUUGAUCGUCACUUUGGCCGUUGAGGAACGCUGCAGUCUUCCUCCAUCCACCGC